AUGGAGCUUUAGACACACAGGUGGCCCAUGUCAAAUAACCCCCGCUAAGGGCCUGAACUAAGUGGAACCUGCCUUGAUGUCUUCGGUUGGGGCGACCAUGGGGAAUACAAAACCCCCACGUGGAAGGGGAGCACACCCCUAAGUUACUUCUUCUCCCGCAAGCCAGAGCAACGGCUCUAACCAGCAGAAAUUCUGACCAAACUGAUCCGGUAAUACCGAUCAACGGACCA
This 230-nucleotide ribosomal RNA is filed under the name Hippoglossoides elassodon (flathead sole). RNAcentral describes it as "partial 16S ribosomal RNA". The record is from RNAcentral. Lineage: Eukaryota; Metazoa; Chordata; Actinopteri; Pleuronectiformes; Pleuronectidae.